Molecule: long non-coding RNA, 1178 nt
Filed under: Lathyrus oleraceus (garden pea)
Lineage: Eukaryota; Viridiplantae; Streptophyta; Magnoliopsida; Fabales; Fabaceae
Description: Pisum sativum (pea) long non-coding RNA (PSAT_LNC035171)
Source: RNAcentral
GCACCACACUCUGUUUCCUUGCAUCAACUCCAAGCCCUUGUACACAGUGAUGAUAUUGCGGGUAUUUUCACUAUCACAAAGUCCCUCCCGGAGUCACAUAAAGAACCUGACUCCACCCAUUCCUUUCCCAAACACCUCACCUCACCAUUUCGCGACCUUUUACAGAGUUACAAUCACAUCUUCACCACCCCUAUGGGCCUCCCUCCCUGUCGUUCCGUCGAUCACCGCAUUCAUUUGAUUGAAGGAACAAAACCUGUAAAUGUGCGACCAUACCGUUACCCACAAUUUCAGAAAACAGAAAUGGAGAAAUUAAUCCGCGAAAUGCUUGAUCAAGGGAUCAUCAUUCCCAGCCAUAGUCCUUUCUCCUCGCCUGUAUUGUUGGUCCGAAAGAAAGACGGCUCUUGGAGGUUUUGUGUCGAUUAUCGUGCUUUGAAUGCAGCGACGGUUAAGGAUAAAUUUCCUAUCCCCACCAUCGAUGAACUUUUGGACGAGCUUGGUGGGGCAACUGUGUUUAGCAAACUGGACCUUCGCGCAGGGUAUCAUCAGAUUCGAGUGCAUUCUCGCGACACGUACAAAACGGCAUUUCGCACACAUGAGGGCCACUUUGAGUUUUUGGUCAUGCCUUUCGGCCUUACUAACGCGCCUUCAACUUUUCAGGCGACCAUGAAUCAACUGUUUUCUCCGUUCCUCCGGAGGUUUGUGAUUGUUUUUUUUGACGACAUUUUAGUNUUCCGUGGCUUCAAUCAUUGGGAAAGGUCUCCCAUGAUUAUUCUGCUCUCACCAUGGAGUUUUGUUGGAAAGGUACUCCGGUCACCUUGGUGGGAGACUCCUCCUUGGCACCACACUCUGUUUCCUUGCAUCAACUCCAAGCCCUUGUACACAGUGAUGAUAUUGCGGGUAUUUUCACUAUCACAAAGUCCCUCCCGGAGUCACAUAAAGAACCUGACUCCACCCAUUCCUUUCCCAAACACCUCACCUCACCAUUUCGCGACCUUUUACAGAGUUACAAUCACAUCUUCACCACCCCUAUGGGCCUCCCUCCCUGUCGUUCCGUCGAUCACCGCAUUCAUUUGAUUGAAGGAACAAAACCUGUAAAUGUGCGACCAUACCGUUACCCACAAUUUCAGAAAACAGAAAUGGAGAAAUUAAUCCGCGAAAUGCUUGAUCAAGGGAUCAUC